This is a long non-coding RNA of Papaver somniferum (opium poppy), 723 nucleotides long. RefSeq lists it as uncharacterized. Lineage: Eukaryota; Viridiplantae; Streptophyta; Magnoliopsida; Ranunculales; Papaveraceae. The record is from RefSeq and is a predicted model, not a curated record. The transcript is spliced from 4 exons.
UCGUUUAUCUGAUUCAUACCCUCUUUCUUUUUCUGCUACUACGAUCCUUCUCCUCUCUCGAAGAGAAUUCCUCCGUUUUUAUUUUUGCGAUAUAUGUUUGCAGGAAAUUUAGUAGGCUAAAUUUAAUCAGGAAUACGAUGCAGAGGAAAAUAACAAGAAGGCAUGUGGCUGGAAGAGGAAAUAGAUUCCGCUUUUGAUAGCUUAUAUCCAGGAAAGACACCUGGAUUUAAAGGAAGUUGCGGAUCAAAUGCACAUGGGAAUAGGUCUGAAAAGUUUCAAGGUGUUGGGAUUGCUUCGCGUUGUUAUAGCUGUUCUUACGACUUCUAAGUCAUUUGCAGAAGAAUGCAGAUGGUAGGUUACUAGCAUACUGCUUCACCAAUCGGCUGGCAUAGUUGCGCCCAUGAGUAAUUGUAUGGUUGAUGCAUUGAGGAUAACAGUAUGGAAUGAAGGUUUUGGAGCAUUUGGAAAGAGUUUGAUUGGUGAAGGUCAGGCUUUUUUCCAGGUUCCAAUACCACACCCUCAUAUUUGUGAUGUUUUCACUGGCGUCAUCUUUUUUUUUUCUUGACCCUUGAUCGAUAGUAUUUGUAUCAAAAGAUGAAUACCUACCAACCAAAAUUAUGAUGAAAAUAAAAAUUGUUGUUAUGGUGAUAACUGUUGGGUGUUCUGAAAAUUUGGGAGUAUGCUUAUUUAGUUAUUUUUCGGAAUAUAAAAAUUGGUAGACAA